This 220-nucleotide long non-coding RNA is filed under the name Gossypium barbadense (sea-island cotton). RNAcentral describes it as "long non-coding RNA (GBAR_LNC020489)". The record is from RNAcentral. Lineage: Eukaryota; Viridiplantae; Streptophyta; Magnoliopsida; Malvales; Malvaceae.
UGGAAUACAGCAGUAAAGAAAAGAAAAUAGAGAAAAGUUAAAAGAAAGCAAAUCAACACUGAAGAAGUCUCCUUUUUGGGUCCAUGCGCAGGAGUCAAUUUUGCAAUAUCCUCCCUAUUUGAUUCCGUGGAAAAAGAAAUGCUUUGAUUAUUUUGUUCAUAUGUAGUGAUGAUAUGGAAUACAGCAUAAAGAAAAGAAAAUAGAGAAAAGUUAAAAGAAA